CCAUCCCUCCUGGCCCUCCCCCCUCUGUACCGGGUGCGCAGGUGUCGGGAGUGUGGGCUGGAAUGUGGCCGGGGCUUGGGGAGCAGCCCCUUCGGAUGGUCGAGCAGGGGUUGUGGCCUCUCACACUGCAUGUGCAUGUGGGGCACAAUAUCAUCCUCGCCGUGGAGACAACAGAAGUGCAUGAAAGCAUACAAAGAAUGCACAGUGUCAGCCUUCAACUUUUACAGGAGUCAAGAAUUUGACAGGAUCAUUUUGUGUGUUAGUUGAGUCAUUCACAGCAGAUGGAACACAAUUCAAUAACUGCAACAUGUGUGCAAGUGUCUUGUAUUCACGCACAAAAGACUCCGCAGUUAAACAAGACAUUCCGGAGCAUUGAACAUCCCAUCCCGUGGUUACAGUGUUGCAAAAGCCAGGGCACCACUAUCCACAGACUGAACCACACAUUCCUCUUACGUGGGAUAUGCACAGUUUGUUGCUUAACCAUCUGUUUCUCAACAUAUCUCCAUUGCAAAUCUUCCUG
Long non-coding RNA from Amblyraja radiata (thorny skate), 520 nucleotides. RefSeq lists it as uncharacterized. The transcript has 3 exons. Lineage: Eukaryota; Metazoa; Chordata; Chondrichthyes; Rajiformes; Rajidae. The record is from RefSeq and is a predicted model, not a curated record.